RNAcentral lists this transfer RNA (72 nucleotides) under Bremerella cremea. RNAcentral's name for it is "tRNA-Gln". It matches the Rfam family "tRNA". Rfam says of the family: Transfer RNA (tRNA) molecules are approximately 80 nucleotides in length. Their secondary structure includes four short double-helical elements and three loops (D, anti-codon, and T loops). Further hydrogen bonds mediate the characteristic L-shaped molecular structure. tRNAs have two regions of fundamental functional importance: the anti-codon, which is responsible for specific mRNA codon recognition, and the 3' end, to which the tRNAs corresponding amino acid is attached (by aminoacyl-tRNA synthetases). tRNAs cope with the degeneracy of the genetic code in two manners: having more than one tRNA (with a specific anti-codon) for a particular amino acid; and 'wobble' base-pairing, i.e. permitting non-standard base-pairing at the 3rd anti-codon position. RNAcentral also lists the same sequence under 2 other names. Lineage: Bacteria; Pseudomonadati; Planctomycetota; Planctomycetia; Pirellulales; Pirellulaceae. The record is from RNAcentral.
UGGGGAAUAGUGUAACGGUAGCACGACAGAUUCUGACUCUGUUAGUCUAGGUUCAAAUCCUAGUUCCCCAGC